GGUGCUUGCACCAAAAUGAAACUAGAUACAAAGCGAAGCGGCGGACGGGUGAGUAACACGUGGGUAAACCUGCCCCAAGAGACUGGGGAUAACACCUGGAAACAGAUGCUAAUACCGGGAUAACAACACUAGACGCAUGUCUAGAGUUUAAAAGAUGGUUCUGCUAUCACUCUUGGGAUGGACCUGCGGUGCAUUAGCUAGUUGGUAAGGGUAACGGGCUUUACCCAAGGCAAAUGAUGCAUAGCCCGAGUUGAGAGACUGAUCGGGCCACAUUGGGACUGAGACACGGCCCAAAACUCCUACGGGAGGCAGCAGUAGGGAAUCUUCCACAAUGGACGCAAGUCUGAUGGAGCAACGCCGCGUGGGUGAAGAAGGGUUUCGGCUCGUAAAGCUCUGUUGGUAGUGAAGAAAGAUAGAGGUAGUAACUGGCCUUUAUUUGACGGUAAUUACUUAGAAAGUCACGGCUAACUACGUGCCAGCAGCCGCGGUAAU
Molecule: ribosomal RNA, 492 nt
Filed under: uncultured Lactobacillus sp.
Lineage: Bacteria; Bacillati; Bacillota; Bacilli; Lactobacillales; Lactobacillaceae
Description: bacterial SSU rRNA
Rfam family: Bacterial small subunit ribosomal RNA
Source: RNAcentral